This 58-nucleotide transfer RNA is filed under the name Escherichia coli PA19. Its description in RNAcentral is "partial tRNA-Asp". It matches the Rfam family "tRNA", at positions 1 to 55 of the family's 71-position model. From Rfam's summary of the family: Transfer RNA (tRNA) molecules are approximately 80 nucleotides in length. The record is from RNAcentral. Lineage: Bacteria; Pseudomonadati; Pseudomonadota; Gammaproteobacteria; Enterobacterales; Enterobacteriaceae. RNAcentral also lists the same sequence under 1 other name.
GGAGCGGUAGUUCAGUCGGUUAGAAUACCUGCCUGUCACGCAGGGGGUCGCGGGUUCG